UGGGGAAUAUUGCACAAUGGGCGAAAGCCUGAUGCAGCAACGCCGCGUGAGUGAUGAAGGCCUUCGGGUUGUAAAGCUCUGUCUUUUGGGACGAUAAUGACGGUACCAAAGGAGGAAGCCACGGCUAACUACGUGCCAGCAGCCGCGGUAAUACGUAGGUGGCAAGCGUUGUGCCGGAUUUACUGGGCGUAAAGGAUGCGUAGGCGGAUUUUUAAGUGAGAUGUGAAAUACCCGGGCUUAACUUGGGUGCUGCAUUUCAAACUGGAAUCUAGAGUGCGGGAGAGGAGAAUGGAAUUCCUAGUGUAGCGGUGAAAUGCGUAGAGAUUAGGAGAACACCAGUGGCGAAGGCGAUUCUCUGGACCGUAACUGACGCUGAGGCAUGAAAGCGUGGGUAGCAAACAGGAUUAGAUACCCUGGUAGUCCACGCCGUAAACGAUGAGUACUAGGUGUAGGAGGUAUCGACCCCUUCUGUGCCGCAGUUAACA
RNAcentral lists this ribosomal RNA (485 nucleotides) under uncultured bacterium. Its description in RNAcentral is "partial 16S ribosomal RNA". It matches the Rfam family "Bacterial small subunit ribosomal RNA", at positions 355 to 857 of the family's 1533-position model. The record is from RNAcentral.